RNAcentral lists this long non-coding RNA (264 nucleotides) under Mytilus galloprovincialis (Mediterranean mussel). The record is from RNAcentral. Lineage: Eukaryota; Metazoa; Mollusca; Bivalvia; Mytilida; Mytilidae.
CGGGAACUUGGUCCCGUUUUUGUUAUUCGUGUUGUGGUCUUUCUCUCAUGGUUUUAUCAAUUCUUUUUGCGGGGAACUGCUCACAUUGAUGUUACAUUAUUUGGGAACUAGCUUGGACUCGGCAUGACAACGGGACCUUUAAAAGACAAUCCAGUCUGCUAACUACAUUUUAUUCUGGUUCACAGUCUAAUGAACCAAAUAGUUUUGCACGACUUUAUAUAGCAGACUGGACUUAAUUUGACACGUAUAACUGUUACACAAAAC